GAUGAACGCUGGCGGCGUGCUUAACACUUGCAAGUCGAACGAAGCACUUUAUUUGAUUUCCUUCGGGACUGAUUAUUUUGUGACUGAGUGGCGGACGGGUGAGUAACGCGUGGGUAACCUGCCUUGUACAGGGGGAUAACAGUUGGAAACGGCUGCUAAUACCGCAUAAGCGCACAGCAUCGCAUGAUGCAGUGUGAAAAACUCCGGUGGUAUAAGAUGGACCCGCGUUGGAUUAGCUAGUUGGUGAGGUAACGGCCCACCAAGGCGACGAUCCAUAGCCGACCUGAGAGGGUGACCGGCCACAUUGGGACUGAGACACGGCCCAAACUCCUACGGGAGGCAGCAGUGGGGAAUAUUGCACAAUGGGCGAAAGCCUGAUGCAGCGACGCCGCGUGAGCGAAGAAGUAUUUCGGUAUGUAAAGCUCUAUCAGCAGGGAAGAUAAUGACGGUACCUGACUAAGAAGCACCGGCUAAAUACGUG
This 481-nucleotide ribosomal RNA is filed under the name uncultured bacterium. RNAcentral describes it as "partial 16S ribosomal RNA". It matches the Rfam family "Bacterial small subunit ribosomal RNA", at positions 28 to 507 of the family's 1533-position model. The record is from RNAcentral.